RNAcentral lists this ribosomal RNA (330 nucleotides) under Lepidoptera sp. BAH_28362_E08. RNAcentral's name for it is "partial 16S ribosomal RNA". Lineage: Eukaryota; Metazoa; Arthropoda; Insecta; Lepidoptera. The record is from RNAcentral.
AAAUUUAAAGGGCUGCAGUAUAUUGACUGUACAAAGGUAGCAUAAUCAUUAGUCUCUUAAUUGGUGACUUGUAUGAAAGAUUGGAUGAAAUAUAGACUGUCUCUUAUUUAAAGAUAGAAUUUAAUUUUUUUAUUAAAAAGUAAAAAUAAUUUUAAAAGACGAGAAGACCCUAUAGAGUUUAAUAAUUUGUAUUUAUUAUAAUUUAUAUAUAAAUUUAAAAAUUUAUAUGAAAUAAAUUAUUUUGUUGGGGUGACAAAAAAAUUAAAAUAACUUUUUUUAAAAAAAAAACAAAAAUAAAUGAAAAAAUUGAUCCAAAAUUUUUGAUUAUAA